AACGAACGCUGGCGGCGUGUUUAAGACAUGCAAGUCGCACGGGAUAAGACAUGUAGUAAUACUUGUUUUAUUUAGUGGCGCACGGGUGAGUAACACGUGAAUUACAUGCCCUAUAGUGGGGAAUAGCCCAGGGAAACUUGGAUUAAUACCCCAUGGUAUCGAGAGAUUAAAGGUGGCCGCAAGGCUGUCGCUAUAGGAUUGGUUCGCGCCCUAUCAGCUUGUUGGUGAGGUAACGGCUCACCGAGGCAAUGACGGGUACCUGGUCUGAGAGGACGAUCAGGCACACUGGAACUGAGACACGGUCCAGACACCUACGGGUGGCAGCAGUCGAGAAUAAUUCACAAUGGGGGCAACCCUGAUGGUGCAACGCCGCGUGGAGGAUGACGGUCUUCGGAUUGUAAACUCCUGUCAUCUGGGAGAAAGACCUGACGGUAAAUAGCCGGCAGGGUUGAUAGUACCAGAAGAGGAAGGGACGGCUAACUUCGUGCCAGCCGCCGCAGUAA
This 503-nucleotide ribosomal RNA is filed under the name uncultured bacterium. RNAcentral describes it as "partial 16S ribosomal RNA". It matches the Rfam family "Bacterial small subunit ribosomal RNA", at positions 29 to 523 of the family's 1533-position model. The record is from RNAcentral.